AGUGAACGCUGGCGGUAGGCCUAACACAUGCAAGUCGAACGGCAGCACAGUAAGAGCUUGCUCUUACGGGUGGCGAGUGGCGGACGGGUGAGGAAUACAUCGGAAUCUACUUUUUCGUGGGGGAUAACGUAGGGAAACUUACGCUAAUACCGCAUAUGAUCUACGGGUGAAAGCAGGGGAUCUUCGGACCUUGCGCGAUUGAAUGAGCCGAUGUCGGAUUAGCUAGUUGGCGGGGUAAAGGCCCACCAUGGCGACGAUCCGUAGCUGGUCUGAGAGGAUGAUCAGCCACACUGGAACUGAGACACGGUCCAGACUCCUACGGGAGGCAGCAGUGGGGAAUAUUGGACAAUGGGCGCAAGCCUGAUCCAGCCAUACCGCGUGGGUGAAGAAGGCCUUCGGGUUGUAAAGCCCUUUUGUUGGGAAAGAAAAGCAGCAGGUUAAUACCCCGCUGUUCUGACGGUACCCAAAGAAUAAGCACCGGCUAACUUCGUG
Molecule: ribosomal RNA, 492 nt
Filed under: uncultured bacterium
Lineage: Bacteria
Description: partial 16S ribosomal RNA
Rfam family: Bacterial small subunit ribosomal RNA
Source: RNAcentral